This 496-nucleotide ribosomal RNA is filed under the name uncultured Sphingobacteriales bacterium. Its description in RNAcentral is "bacterial SSU rRNA". It matches the Rfam family "Bacterial small subunit ribosomal RNA", at positions 884 to 1382 of the family's 1533-position model. The record is from RNAcentral. Lineage: Bacteria; Pseudomonadati; Bacteroidota; Sphingobacteriia; Sphingobacteriales.
CCAGCCCGCUCAGAAACUCAAAGGAAUUGACGGGGGCCCGCACAAGCGGAGGAGCAUGUGGUUAAUUCGAUGAUACGCGAGGAACCUUACCUGGGCUCGAACGUAAGAUGACUGUAGGUGAAAGCUUACAUCUCUUCGGAGCAUUUUACGAGGUGCUGCAUGGUUGUCGUCAGCUCGUGCCGUGAGGUGUCGGGUUAAGUCCCAUAACGAGCGCAACCCUACCUUUAGUUGCCAUCAGGUAAUGCUGGGGACUCUAAAGGAACUGCCUACGCAAGUAGUGAGGAAGGCGGGGAUGACGUCAAAUCAGCACGGCCCUUACGUCCAGGGCUACACACGUGCUACAAUGGCCGAUACAGAGGGCAGCUACCUGGUGACAGGAUGCAAAUCUCCAAAGUCGGUCUCAGUUCGGAUCGGAGUCUGCAACCCGACUCCGUGAAGUUGGAUUCGCUAGUAAUCGCGCAUCAGCCAUGGCGCGGUGAAUACGUUCCCGGGCCUU